RNAcentral lists this ribosomal RNA (1355 nucleotides) under uncultured archaeon. RNAcentral describes it as "bacterial SSU rRNA". It matches the Rfam family "Archaeal small subunit ribosomal RNA". The record is from RNAcentral.
UUCCGGUUGUACCUGCCGGAGGCCACUGCUAUGGGGGUCCGACUAAGCCAUGCGAGUCAUGGGGCGCCUUGCGCGCACCGGCGGACGGCUCAGUAACACGUCGGUAACCUACCCUCGGGAGGGGGAUAACCCCGGGAAACUGGGGCUAAUCCCCCAUAGGCCUGAGGUACUGGAAGGUCCUCAGGCCGAAAGGGGCUCUGCCCGCCCGAGGAUGGGCCGGCGGCCGAUUAGGUAGUUGGUGGGGUAACGGCCCACCAAGCCGAAGAUCGGUACGGGCCAUGAGAGUGGGAGCCCGGAGAUGGACACUGAGACACGGGUCCAGGCCCUACGGGGCGCAGCAGGCGCGAAACCUCCGCAAUGCGGGCAACCGCGACGGGGGGACCCCCAGUGCCGUGGCAACGCCACGGCUUUUCCGGAGUGUAAAAAGCUCCGGGAAUAAGGGCUGGGCAAGGCCGGUGGCAGCCGCCGCGGUAAUACCGGCGGCCCGAGUGGUGGCCGCUAUUAUUGGGCCUAAAGCGUCCGUAGCCGGGCCCGUAAGUCCCUGGCGAAAUCCCACGGCUCAACCGUGGGGCUUGCUGGGGAUACUGCGGGCCUUGGGACCGGGAGAGGCCGGGGGUACCCCUGGGGUAGGGGUGAAAUCCUAUAAUCCCAGGGGGACCGCCAGUGGCGAAGGCGCCCGGCUGGAACGGGUCCGACGGUGAGGGACGAAGGCCAGGGGAGCGAACCGGAUUAGAUACCCGGGUAGUCCUGGCUGUAAAGGAUGCGGGCUAGGUGUCGGGCGAGCUUCGAGCUCGCCCGGUGCCGAAAGGAAGCCGUUAAGCCCGCCGCCUGGGGAGUACGGCCGCAAGGCUGAAACUUAAAGGAAUUGGCGGGGGAGCACUACAAGGGGUGGAGCGUGCGGUUUAAUUGGAUUCAACGCCGGGAACCUCACCGGGGGCGACGGCAGGAUGAAGGCCAGGCUGAAGGUCUUGCCGGACACGCCGAGAGGAGGUGCAUGGCCGCCGUCAGCUCGUACCGUGAGGCGUCCACUUAAGUGUGGUAACGAGCGAGACCCGCGCCCCCAGUUGCCAGUCCUUCCCGCUGGGGAGGAGGCACUCUGGGGGGACCGCCGGCGAUAAGCCGGAGGAAGGAGCGGGCGACGGUAGGUCAGUAUGCCCCGAAACCCCCGGGCUACACGCGCGCUACAAUGGGCGGGACAAUGGGAUCCGACCCCGAAAGGGGAAGGGAAUCCCCUAAACCCGCCCCCAGUUCGGAUCGCGGGCUGCAACUCGCCCGCGUGAAGCUGGAAUCCCUAGUACCCGCGUGUCAUCAUCGCGCGGCGAAUACGUCCCUGCUCCUUGCACACACCGCCCGUC